GUGCAGAGAAGAAGGUGUCAGUAUUGUGAUGAUCUGGUCAUGAGAAAUCACCAAGAAGCGUGUCCCCCAGCUGUCAGCCAUGUCCUGCUGCUCCUCUGCCGCUUUUCUGCACAAAGCUGGAACUUGUCACAUCCCUCCUGGCCCAGAGGAAGGAAUGUAAAGAAUGCAUUUGUCUCAGCUAUAAUUGCUACAAGAAGCUGAAUGAUCAGACAGACCAUGCUGCAAAGUUGGAGGUUGGAUCUGAAACCUUUGGAGGAAUGUUAGAACUGAUAUUCUGCUUCCAGCCUUAAUCAACACCCUCAAAGAUUCAGCAGAUACUACAAAACUAGGGUUUGUAUCUGCAUCUUUCAGGAGCCUGUCCCAGUUCUGGCCUCUAUGCUGUGAGCAUCCUUAAAAGAUACAUCAAACAGCACAACAUGAGUUCAAAGAACUUUGCUUGUAACUGCAAUGAAUCUGAAAUGUACUGAUGAAAGAUUUAUUAAUGUCAUGCAAGGUAGAGUGUCCUCCUGUUAGCAGAGACCUUCUGAAUCGCUGAGUGAACAGGUCAUCAAAGGGAAAUCAGCGCGGUAAUUGGAGCAGCAUUCUUGAGCCUAAUUGGACAGAGGUUAAGUCUGUGUCUGAGCAGAGUGUUGGGUAAUGACAAGGACACAAAUAAAGCAGCAGUAAUGGGGGCCUUUCUGCUGUUGCAGGGAACAGGGAGGUGUGGCUCAGGCUGAGGUUGGUACCUCCCUGGAAUCUUCAUCUGCAGCUGAAAUUUCCACUGGACUCCAGCCAAGAUGUGCAGACAAAGCAAUUUUCCCUGGGGAGAGACAAACCUUGUAUUUUUGUGCUUUUGGAGAUGCUGGGAUAGAAACAGUGAAAAUUAUGACUCAGAAAAUGUGCUGGGAUACUUUUCUAGUGUGCAGAAACACACAGCUAAACCUAAAGCAUUCUGAAGGCCUUGAUCAUGCUGUCCCUUCAGAUAUUAGAAGAUUUUGGGGGUUGAAAGGGUGGGGAUACUCAAUAAAAUAA
Long non-coding RNA from Passer montanus (Eurasian tree sparrow), 1011 nucleotides. RefSeq lists it as uncharacterized. The record is from RefSeq and is a predicted model, not a curated record. Lineage: Eukaryota; Metazoa; Chordata; Aves; Passeriformes; Passeridae. The transcript has 4 exons.